GACUUCUGGUGCCUUUCUCCUGCUUGGUAGUCCAUAUCACUCAGAUUUAUUUAUUUCUGCAAUGUAUUUCUCUCUGAUGAAUGUGAAUAAGUUUGACCAAUGGAUGGAGGAGUUACAAGGGAGGGUCAGACAGAUAUGGAGGCAUGACUAUGGGCUUGUUUAAGCUUCAUUUUCACAAGGAACCAGACUAAGAUCCACCCACUAAUGAAAUACGCCCUUCUCCUGCUUAUCUGGUAAGACGCUGGAGAGUCUCAUAGCUUCCUGGUGCUCCAGUUUCACUUGCUGCAAAAUCUCCCUGUGACCUGGUGUCACCUCUGCGUUUCCCCCACUGAGACUGCACAAAGCUAGAGAAUUCUAAAGCAGCUUCUAAACAUAGGGACCCAAACUCUACCCAGUGUUGGCUCCAAGUCAGUGGACUUGCAUCUCCAACCAAAACCAACAGGAGCUGCUGUGGGGAAAAAGAGAGCUGCUAUGGAUCACCUUUCAUUUCUGGAGCUGUUUCCGCACUAAAAGCCCUGGUGUCACAACUGACUGCACAACGGACACUGGCAUCUUGGUGCCCAACAGCGUUCACAACCACAUCCCAGGUAGGACUCAUCCUCCUUGCACAAAGGAGGAGCCUGCAGACAUUGAGAAUGGGACUCAUAAAAUGGGAAGCCUUGAGCUGAAGAUCCUAUGGCACUUCAGUCAAGACAAGAACUUGAAUCUAAACCCUCUGGCCCUCAGAAGAAAGCACACUUCUCCCAGAAGAAAUGGGCAGAGAGGAGGAUUCGGGCAACCAAUUUCACAUCAGCUCCACAUCGGGCAACAGUGGGAUUAGAACCUGAUUUUCCUAUUGUGUAGGUAAUGAUCUUAAUCACUGUCGUGACUCACUGAUUUUUACCCUUUGACUGCAUUAGAAAUGCACUAGAUAUUCUGUACAAAUAAGAUUUGUAUUGUCCUGAAGCAAUCAUUUUUCCAUUUUUUAAUGUCAGUUUGGAAAAAAACACUUCUUCAUCCUCUAAGUACCUCAGAAUCCACAUCCUACAGAGAGUCUGUAAGUAUAUUCUUAAUUCUGUUCAGAGAAGGGAUUUUCCCAAGGCCAUUCAGAUGCCUUGUGGAGGAGCAGAGACUUGAACCAGAUUUCCCACAUUCCUUCGCUGGUUCACUAAGAGACCAAGAUGGUUUCAGUCAGUGACCUUCCAUGGUUCCUCCUCUGGCUCUGAUCUCACAUUUCGCAGUGCAGCAGAACAAUAUUUUCUGCAAGUUUGUUUAAAUUUGCUAAUGUUCCCACAUGCCUCCUUUCCUAUGGGUGUGCUGGUACUUGCAUCAGGAAAUGUUACCUGAGCAGUUAAAAAAGGAUUGUCAAAGAUCUUCACAUUUUGAUGUCACGUGUCCAGAUUGGCACUUAUAAUAACAGUGCUUUGCACAAGCAGCCUUUCUGCAGACUUGUUGGUUUUAUUCUUCAUCGGGUUUCUGGUAAAAUCCUAAAUCCCAAUUUUCUUCCAGGAUUUCCUAUUUAGGACCUGCUCCAUUCUCUGCUAGUCUAUAGUAAUUGUACUUAUUUUUAGUCAUCUCCAAAAUAUUUCCACUGGGAAAAUCCAGAAAUCACUUACGUCUUGCAACUUUUCUUCGCAAACAGUGCUCUAAAUUGCAGGUAAUAUACUUGUUUUAAAAAUGCUAUCAGUUUGUACAGUGAAAACCAGUACGUUAAAAAGAACAGAG
Coturnix japonica (Japanese quail) is the source of this 1704-nucleotide long non-coding RNA. The record is from Ensembl. Lineage: Eukaryota; Metazoa; Chordata; Aves; Galliformes; Phasianidae.